Peromyscus californicus insignis is the source of this 3849-nucleotide long non-coding RNA. RefSeq lists it as uncharacterized. The transcript has 3 exons. Lineage: Eukaryota; Metazoa; Chordata; Mammalia; Rodentia; Cricetidae. The record is from RefSeq and is a predicted model, not a curated record.
UUCUGUCACUGACUGACGGGAGCACUAAGUCCUUCCUCCUGGCACCCCGCCCCCUUCCUUCUGCCUCCUCUUCACCCCAGCACCCCGGGAACAGGUUUUCUUAUUUCUUCCUUUCCUAUUUGAGUCAGGGUAAAAAGGGUGAGUACCGUAACCAGCCAGGGUGCCAUGGAGUGUAAGUUAGGAAUGCCGACCUUGCCCUCUGGACCAAGACUUGGCUUUCUCUUGGAGCUGGGGGGGGUGCAAGGCACUGUUUCCUGGCAGUCAUUGCCUUCAACACUCUUGACAAGUGUGGCUGGGUUGUUGAGGAGAUACAUCGGAAUGUGAUUCAAUUGUCUCAGUGAUAGGUUGCAUGUGCCUCAAAUAUAUUUAAAAAAAUAGUCAUUUUUUUUUCUGGCCUCCAAAAUCUUUUCACCCAGCACUGUCUUUGCCUCCAGUGUUCAGUGGGUAAAACAUGUCCUGCGUCAUGUCCAGCCAGGCAUACAAGUUCACUGAGUGCAGUAAAGCCCACUGCAGUCACAGAGGAGAGCUCCCUCCCUGCUAAAACUGUACUGCUGUCCUUCGCCAGUUGGUUGAGGGGAGGAAAAACAAUCAAACCACUUAACGAAAGGAGAGGAAGGGCUUUGCCUCUGCUUCUGUGUUCAGUUAUUAGAGCUGCCCCAGUGGUGGCGGAGACCGAUAUACGAUGGCGGGGUAUCUGCAUCCUCUUCCUGCUAUGACUAUGAGCAUCUCCAAAGGGGAUCUUGUCAUUUGAGAUUUCUAUCUCCCUGUAGCUUUGUGCAAUCUUGAUUCUGGUCCAAAGACGAUGGAUCUCAGAGACACUGGUGAAGAAAAAGCAGAGAGCUGUGUUGUGAGGGGCUGGACUUCAGAUCAACCCAUGCAAUGCUUGGGCUUGCCAGUGCAGUCCUUCCUUAAUUCUGUCACAAUAGAAAGGUAUUCACUCUCAUUUUUCUUCCCCGGGUACACCCAACAUCUACAGUGACAGUUUACACGGAGAAAUGAAUUACUCACUUUAUAAACAGUUCGACAUAUCUUUUGCUGAGCCAACGUGAGAGAGGUACUUACAUACAGGAAAAAAGAUGUUUCCCUGGGGUUUCACAGCCAGGGUGGGAAUAAUAGCUUAUUCCUUAUGGCUUAGCAUAAGAGCAUUGCAAUUCAUUAUAACUUCAAUUUGGAGGAAAUUUACAAGACGAAAACAAGAAAGCUAGCCAGAGUGCACUGUAUUAAUCCUUCCAUUCUUUCUGCAAAAGAUCAUUUGGAACCCCUCCAGCCUUUGUCUUUAUUUCCCUUCCAAUGGGUCCUAAAUUUGCACAGAAGGAAAAUAGAUGAGACAGACUCAUGUGCUUUCUCAAGGUGUUGUACACAGGCACAGGCUACUGAGGAAUUAUAAUACAAAUAUACUAGGGUUCCCAAGGUCUUCGAAGCACAAAGAUCCAGGAAGCUACUGUCACGAUUCUCUUAAAGAAAUAAAGAAAACCCUUACAUAUUGACCCGGAAGCUGAGGGAUUUUUCUAGACUACAAACAAAAUGAAAGCUGGCAACUAUACCUAACAUAGGCCAAAGAAGAGGUAGGCUGACACCUACCAACACCUUGAGGGAAAACUCUGAGUAUGAAGUAUUCAUUACAGAGUAAACAGAGGACACUGGAGAGAACCACUUGUCAUUUAAACUAAGGAAGCAGGCCAGUCAUUAAAAUGUAUCAGUGUGGAUGACCUGCUGUGUGGAGCAAUUUUGAAAGUGGUAUUUAAAACUUGGGAUUGAUGUUUGUCCCUUGUAAGUGAAGAAUUGCUUGUUUGAAAAUUAUUUAUUCAGCUGGGCAGUGGUAGAGCACACCUUUAAUCCCAGCAUUUAGGAGGCAGAGACAGGCGGAUCUCUGGAACUUUUUUGAGGCCAGCCUGCUCUACAGAGCGAGUUCUAGGACAGCCAGAGUGGUUACACAAAGAAACCCUGUCUCAAAAACAAACAAACAAACAAAACACAAAAAAUCCCACACAAAACCCAAAAACAAACAAAUAAAAAAUAAAAACAAAACAGAAAAACACAAACAAAAAAAACCCAAAAAGAAUGGAAAAAGAAAAUUAUUUAUUUAUAUAUCUACUUUUGCAUGUGUCUGUUUGGGUAGUGUGUUUGUAUGUGUGCGAGCACAUGUGUGGGUAUGUGUCGGGGUACACAUGGAGGAGGCUCAAGGCUGCACAUUGUUUAUUGAGAUAAGGUCUCUCUGUUGAACCCGGAACUUGCCAGUAUGGCAAGCUAGCCUGCUUGCUCCAAGGAUCCUCACCUCCACCUUUGCUGUUAUGCACCCUGCUUCUGUGUGGGUGCUCAGGAUCUGAAUUCUCAUCCUAAUCCUUACCUGAUAAGCGUGUGGUUCACUGAACCGUCUCUUCAGCCCCAACACUUGCUUUUUUGAUAGUAUCGAAAUACAGACAACAUAUGUAGAAAAUUGCCUUUGUGCAUAAUUCGUGGCUCUUUUCAGUAUGGAAGAAAGUUUAGCCCACUUUUACAUAAUAGACUUAGAUACAUUAUAAAGUAUCCCAGCGAAGCCGAAUCAAACCUUAGAAUCUUGAGCUCCCUCUAAAAGUGAGAGUUGACAUGAUCGUUGCUUUCCUAGCAACAGGAUUUGGGGCUAGGAGUAGACCCAAAAAGAAAAAGAAAAGCAAUGCCACAUAAAAGAACAGAAAAGAUGCCAAGAGAGAUGUCAGUGCAUGACUCUGCUGGAGGGUGGUUCGUAGAAUGUAUGAAUUCAAUGCUUCCAAACUUCCUUUCUCCUUGAAUUCUGAGCCCAAUCCCUAGGGAGCUGAGCAGAUGAAUCAAAGCAAAGGACACCAACCCUAGGAGCCCGGGCAGCAAUCAAGGUGACGUAUGUGUACCUCUUCCCAAUGUUGUGUCCUUUACGCAGUGAUUUGGAGCAGCCCAGAAAAGGGCCUCUGUAGGAAUGCAUCACUACGUGUUGUGAGCCAAAUUUUUGUCCCUUCUCAAUUCAAAAUCCGCCUGCUAUAUUAACAAGGUACUUUGCCACAUUCUCGCUACAUUUGGUAGUGAAUUAUCCAUUGUGAUUAUUGGCAGAGUAAAUGUUGGCAUCUAGACUCAACUUCCACAUCACUAGGGCUGUUAUCCCUGGCAGCUCCCUCCCAUGACUAAGCUCCGAUUUCAGGUAACAAUGUGCUAUUUAUCACCAGCUCCCUUUAAGAAAUUUGCCAUUUUAGUUUGUUUUCUUUUAAGCUAAACACAUAUGUUUGGUAUAUUUAUACACACACAGCCUCACUUUGAAAGUCUUCUCCCGUGCGAUGGAAAUUUCAUUUUGCACCUGAGUUAACCGAACAGCCACAUGGACAAAAUGAUUUUCUUCUGUACAGAAAUGUAGCAGCUCCAGGCUCUGAGGGACUGUCCAGCACUAGGAAAGUGCAGGCCUAGUUGAAGCAGUCUGUGAGGGUGGACCACCUGGAAGUAGCCAUUUUGAAGCUGUCCAGGAUGCAGAUUUUGAGGGGACACCUGGACCUGGCAGGAUGCUGGCAGAAGAUAAAGAAAAGGCAAAGAAUGGACCUCAAGAAAUUAGAAUUUCCUCCGGUAAUCUUCUGCUGGGACAAGAAGGGCUGUGUCAGAGGAAGAACUGCCAGAAGAUCUGAAACCUUAUCUCUCCUUGUAGGAGAUACUUGGAGCUGAGGCAGUGGUGGGCUUAGAUGUGCGUAACUCUUGCUUUCUCUUUAAACCCUCAAGUGAAGAUCACCCCCUACAUGAUCAGUUUGGGGAGGUCUCUGGGAUCUUUGGCCACAUUAAAGAAAUCUCUCCUUUCUGCUUUUCACAAUUCGUUUGCCUCUUUUAACUGUUUUCUUAAGGAUGGGUGGCCAAACCUGG